Molecule: ribosomal RNA, 227 nt
Filed under: uncultured bacterium
Lineage: Bacteria
Description: partial 16S ribosomal RNA
Rfam family: Bacterial small subunit ribosomal RNA
Source: RNAcentral
UACGGAGGGAGCUAGCGUUAUUCGGAAUUACUGGGCGUAAAGCGCACGUAGGCGGCUUUGUAAGUUAGAGGUGAAAGCCUGGAGCUCAACUCCAGAAUUGCCUUUAAGACUGCAUCGCUUGAAUCCAGGAGAGGUGAGUGGAAUUCCGAGUGUAGAGGUGAAAUUCGUAGAUAUUCGGAAGAACACCAGUGGCGAAGGCGGCUCACUGGACUGGUAUUGACGCUGAG